RNAcentral lists this ribosomal RNA (492 nucleotides) under uncultured bacterium. RNAcentral's name for it is "partial 16S ribosomal RNA". It matches the Rfam family "Bacterial small subunit ribosomal RNA", at positions 29 to 507 of the family's 1533-position model. The record is from RNAcentral.
AGUGAACGCUGGCGGUAGGCCUAACACAUGCAAGUCGAACGGCAGCACAGUAAGAGCUUGCUCUUACGGGUGGCGAGUGGCGGACCGGUGAGGAAUACAUCGGAAUCUACUUUUUCGUGGGGGAUAACGUAGGGAAACUUACGCUAAUACCGCAUACGACCUACGGGUGAAAGCAGGGGAUCUUCGGACCUUGCGCGAUUGAAUGAGCCGAUGUCGGAUUAGCUAGUUGGCGGGGUAAAGGCCCACCAAGGCGACGAUCCGUAGCUGGUCUGAGAGGAUGAUCAGCCACACUGGAACUGAGACACGGUCCAGACUCCUACGGGAGGCAGCAGUGGGGAAUAUUGGACAAUGGGCGCAAGCCUGUUCCAGCCAUACCGCGUGGGUGAAGAAGGCCUUCGGGUUGUAAAGCCCUUUUGUUGGGAAAGAAAAGCAGCAGGUUAAUACCCCGCUGUUCUGACGGUACCCAAAGAAUAAGCACCGGCUAACUUCGUG